This is a long non-coding RNA of Astatotilapia calliptera (eastern happy), 1185 nucleotides long. NCBI's taxonomy places the organism in Eukaryota, Metazoa, Chordata, Actinopteri, Cichliformes, Cichlidae. The record is from Ensembl.
GAGAAGAAAAGAGGUUGUCAAGGAUUGCCCCGCAAUCCAAGACCUCUUAGAGAGGUGGCCUUCUCUGUUCUGUGAAAAUCAGAUCAAAGAGGAGUUUAAGCGAAUAACCACAAUUCAUCUGGAGCGAACGUUUUUGUCCAGAUUGGACAGGUACACCACCAAACUCCUGGAGAUAUUUCGAAGGAAGGGCGGGACUGCAGGGACCAAAAUAAAACCAAUGUUGGACUCACUGAAUAAGCAUCAUGUCGAUGGCAGAAGGGACAUUAUCAUUCGUUGCUUAGUUGAGUAUCUUGGAGAGAGUGGAGAGGAGCUGAUCAAAGACCAUCAGGAGGACGUCAGCCAAGAAGCAUUGAAAGAGGACUGCAGUAAUCACAUGAUGAAGAUCAUCGUAAUCCAUCCCAAUGUGGCACAGGAAAACCAAGACCCUGUGAACGUGUCGGUCAUCAUUGAGGGGACAGAAAUUCUGGAGGACUGUGUGACAAACGCUUGCCUCCUGCUCAUGGGUGUCAUCUAUGCUGCCAAUUUAAGUUACCCACUGAAACUGAAAUAUACGUUUGAGGUAUUUCAGAAGCUGUUUCUUGAGCUUGACAUCCUUAAAAUGUCACCAAAGGUCCAGUCUCUCCACAAGAAACUUUUAGUGUGAGUGUUCCAGUGUUAUUUGUGCUUUUGUCCAGCACAAUUAAUUUGUUUGCAUUUUGUCUGUUUUCUGACAGUAAUUUCAAAUGUUGCUCAGUUUUAUACAAGUUCUUUCUGUCCUGAACGUUCUGAGAAUGUCUGCAAAGGUAGUGAUUGCAACUGUUAAUGGACAGAGUUGAUGUAUGUGUUCUGAAAGUUGAUUAGAAGAAAGGGGACAGUGCACACUGAGUUUUUGAAUAGCAUGUUUUGUUUUUUUUGUAUAUGUGUAUAUGCUCUGUUUUGAAAUUUGCGAGCAAGAAGUUCUAUGGCCAUGUUUUUUGUGGUUAUAAUGUUUUGUAGAUAUUUUAAAUAUAUCUAUGCCAUUUCAACUGUGAAAUAAAAGUGUCCCUUAAGCUGCAAAUAUUUGUUUUGGAAAAUAUUGAUUUAUUAUUUAAUAGAAUAAUAAGAAUAUUUAUUCAAUUCGAUUAAUAUUAACUAGUACAUUCAUAAUAAAUAUUACUUAAUAAUUACAUAGAAUAUAUCAAAGAAAAGAUGAGUAAGAAACACAAA